CCUACGGGUGGCAGCAGUGGGGAAUAUUGGGCAAUGGAGGAAACUCUGACCCAGCAACGCCGCGUGAAUGAUGAAGGUCUUCGGAUUGUAAAGUUCUUUUCUAAGGGAAGUAGAAAGUGACGGUACCUUAGGAAUAAGCCUCGGCUAACUACGUGCCAGCAGCCGCGGUAAUACGUAGGAGGCAAGCGUUAUCCGGAAUGACUGGGCGUAAAGGGUGCGUAGGUGGGUUGAUAAGUUAGUAGCGUAACUCCGAGGCUCAACCGCGGCACUACUACCAAAACUGUCGGACUUGAGUGCAGAAGAGGAGAGUGGAACUCCAGGUGUAGCGGUGAAAUGCGUAGAUAUAUGGAAGAACACCAGUGGCGAAGGCGGCUCUCUAAUCUGUAACUGACGCUGAGGUUCGAAAGCGUGGGUAGCAAACAGGAUUAGAUACCCCAGUAGUC
Molecule: ribosomal RNA, 443 nt
Filed under: uncultured bacterium
Lineage: Bacteria
Description: partial 16S ribosomal RNA
Rfam family: Bacterial small subunit ribosomal RNA
Source: RNAcentral